AUUGAACGCUGGCGGCAUGCUUUACACAUGCAAGUCGAACGGCAGCGCGGGCUUCGGCCUGGCGGCGAGUGGCGAACGGGCGAGUAAUGCAUCGGAACGUGCCCAGCAGUGGGGGAUAGCCCGGCGAAAGCCGGAUUAAUACCGCAUACGACCUGAGGGUGAAAGCGGGGGACCGAAAGGCCUCGCGCUAUUGGAGCGGCCGAUGUCGGAUUAGCUAGUUGGUGGGGUAAAGGCUUACCAAGGCGACGAUCCGUAGCUGGUCUGAGAGGACGACCAGCCACACUGGGACUGAGACACGGCCCAGACUCCUACGGGAGGCAGCAGUGGGGAAUUUUGGACAAUGGGGGCAACCCUGAUCCAGCCAUGCCGCGUGCGGGAAGAAGGCCUUCGGGUUGUAAACCGCUUUUGUUCGGGAAGAAAUCCUCUGGGCUAAUACCCCGGGGGGAUGACGGUACCGGAAGAAUAAGCACCGGCUAACUACGUG
Molecule: ribosomal RNA, 484 nt
Filed under: uncultured bacterium
Lineage: Bacteria
Description: partial 16S ribosomal RNA
Rfam family: Bacterial small subunit ribosomal RNA
Source: RNAcentral